RNAcentral lists this long non-coding RNA (1262 nucleotides) under Homo sapiens (human). RNAcentral's name for it is "novel transcript". The record is from RNAcentral. Lineage: Eukaryota; Metazoa; Chordata; Mammalia; Primates; Hominidae.
AGCUAACCGCACAGAGGUAAGGGUGUCACUUUCUCGUAGGCUGGAGUGCAGUGGUGUGAUCAUGGCUCACUGCAGCCUCAACCUCCCUGGACUUAGGUGAUCCUCCCGUCUCAGUCGCUGGAGUCACUGGGACUACAGGCACGCACCACUACUCCCAGUUAAUUUUUUUUGUAUUUUUUGUAGAGUUUCUCUACGUUGCCCAGACUGGUCUCAAACACUUUGGCUGGAGAUCCGCCUGACUCGGCCUUCUGAAGUGCUAAGAUUACAGGCGUGAGCCGCCAUACCUGGUCGCUGUUUCAUAUUAUAUAUGCAAGAAGUAGAGAAAUCAAAUCUAAUAAAAAUAAAUGGACCUCAGUUCACUUUUGGACAGCAGAAAAAGCAAACUGUGGAAAGCAGAAUUCUACAAUGGCACGCUGGUUCCCACCCCUUGGUGUACAUGCUCUGCAUGAAGUGAGCAGGACCUGUGAAUAUAAUGGGAUAAUCACUCCUGUGAUUACAUUAUGUUAUAUGAUUCCAUUCCCCUCCUGGCUUUGAAGAAGUGAGCUGCCAUGUCAUGAGAACACCAGGUGGCUAGGACCUGAAGAUAGCCUCUAAGGAGCUGAGGAUGUCACCCUGCUGACAGCCAGCAAGGAAAUGGGUACCUCAGUCCUAUAGCUGCAAGGAAUUGAAACCUGCCAACAACCUGAAUGAACUUGGCAGAGGACUCUGAGCUUGUGAUGAGAACACAUCCCCAGCUUGAAAUCAAAUCGACAUAUUGAUUUUAGCACUGUGAGAUACUGAGCUGAGAACACAGUUCAGCUGUUCCUGGACUUCAGAACCACAGAACUGAGAUGAUAAAUGAGUGGUGUUUCAAGUUGCUAAGUUUGUGGUCAUUUGCUUACAGUAAUUGUAAACUAAUACACAAGUGUAAGUUUGUUUUCUUAAAGAAGAAAAAAACGGGGAAGGAGGUAAGUGUUAAAGGAUCAAAACUCUGACAAAAGGCUGGUUGCAGAACAUGACAGGUUGUUGCACUGGAAACUAUUUGUCAUGCAAGUUUAUGUUAAAAUAAGUAGCUUUUGAGGACUUUCAUUUUUGGUCUUGUAAACAUGCCAUUUAAUAUUGUCCAACUGAUAAUACUUUUUGCAAACAGAAACUGUUAAAACCUUUAAAGCAAAUAUUACUGUAGAGAAGAAGUAAUGUGUUAUGAAACUGUGAGGAUACUAAGAAGGAUCCUACUUAAGUUUCUUCAGCAUAAAUAAACUUGAGCGUUUCGACCACUGUUA